AGAGUUUGAUCAUGGCUCAGAAUCAACGCUGGCGGCGUGCCUCAGACAUGCAAGUCGAACGAUUAAAGCCCUCUUCGGAGGGUGUAUAAAGUGGCGCACGGGUGAGUAACACGUAAGUAAUCUACCCUCGGGUGGGGAAUAACAACCGGAAACGGUUGCUAAUACCGCAUAAUGCAGCGGCUCCUUAUGGAGACAGUUGUUAAAGGAUUUAUUCGCCUGAGGAGGAGCUUGCGGCAAAUUAGCUAGUUGGUAAGGUAAUGGCUUACCAAGGCUACGAUCUGUAGCCGGUCUAAGAGGACGGUCGGUCACACUGACACUGAAUAACGGGUCAGACUCCUACGGGAGGCAGCAGUCGGGAAUUUUGGGCAAUGGGCGAAAGCCUGACCCAGCAACGCCGCGUGAAGGAUGAAGUAUUUCGGUAUGUAAACUUCGAAAGAAUAGGAAGAAUUAAUGACGGUACUAUUUAUAAGGUCCGGCUAACUACGUGCCAGCAGCCGCGGUAAUACGUAGGGACCAAGCGUUGUUCGGAUUUACUGGGCGUAAAGGGCGCGUAGGCGGCAUGACAAGUCACUUGUGAAAUCUCUGGGCUUAACUCAGAACGGCCAAGUGAUACUGUCGCGCUAGAGUGCAGAAAGGGCAAUCGGAAUUCUUGGUGUAGCGGUGGAAUGCGUAGAUAUCAAGAGGAACACCUGAGGCGAAGGCGG
This 704-nucleotide ribosomal RNA is filed under the name uncultured bacterium. RNAcentral's name for it is "bacterial SSU rRNA". It matches the Rfam family "Bacterial small subunit ribosomal RNA", at positions 8 to 724 of the family's 1533-position model. The record is from RNAcentral.